UCCAAAGGAGACCACAAGGAUAGGGAAGGUUCUGGAGGGGCCUUAUGAGGAGCAGCUGAGGGCACUUGGUAUGAUCCUCCUGGAGAAAAGGAGGC
Long non-coding RNA from Empidonax traillii (willow flycatcher), 95 nucleotides. RefSeq lists it as uncharacterized. The record is from RefSeq and is a predicted model, not a curated record. The transcript has 3 exons. Lineage: Eukaryota; Metazoa; Chordata; Aves; Passeriformes; Tyrannidae.